RNAcentral lists this ribosomal RNA (501 nucleotides) under uncultured bacterium. Its description in RNAcentral is "partial 16S ribosomal RNA". It matches the Rfam family "Bacterial small subunit ribosomal RNA", at positions 28 to 523 of the family's 1533-position model. The record is from RNAcentral.
GACGAACGCUGGCGGCAUGCCUUACACAUGCAAGUCGAACGGCAGCACGGGUGCUUGCACCUGGUGGCGAGUGGCGAACGGGUGAGUAAUAUAUCGGAACGUACCUUAUUGUGGGGGAUAACGCAGCGAAAGCUGUGCUAAUACCGCAUAAUCCCUAAGGGGAAAAGCGGGGGACCGUAAGGCCUCGCGCAAUUAGAGCGGCCGAUACCUGAUUAGCUAGUUGGUGAGGUAAAGGCUCACCAAGGCAACGAUCAGUAGCUGGUCUGAGAGGACGAUCAGCAACACUGGGACUGAGACACGGCCCAGACUCCUACGGGAGGCAGCAGUGGGGAAUUUUGGACAAUGGGGGCAACCCUGAUCCAGCAAUGCCGCGUGAGUGAAGAAGGCCUUCGGGUUGUAAAGCUCUUUUGUCAGGGAAGAAACAGCAGCUCUAACACAGUUUGCGAAUGACGGUACCUGAAGAAUAAGCACCGGCUAACUACGUGCCAGCAGCCGCCGUAA